RNAcentral lists this long non-coding RNA (406 nucleotides) under Gossypium barbadense (sea-island cotton). RNAcentral describes it as "long non-coding RNA (GBAR_LNC002382)". Lineage: Eukaryota; Viridiplantae; Streptophyta; Magnoliopsida; Malvales; Malvaceae. The record is from RNAcentral.
AUAAACUCAAGCCAAGAUUCAUAUCCAUUUUGAAUAAACAAAAUUAGUCAUGUCAUAUUAAACUGAAAAUAUAAAGAUGAGAUGCAAUCUUGUCUCUUGACAUAAAAAAAAAAUUUAACAAUAAAGAUAAGGGUAAGAAAGAGUAGCCGAGGGGGGCUAUCCAUGACCAUUUCACAAUAUGAAAAGUAAACAGUUGAAUGCAAGGGGCUAUCUGCGUCUGCUCCUUGCGGCUUCUCAUGGUGGCUUUCCUCCUUGUCUUUAUGUUAAAAUCAUCUAAACAUAUUCAAGUCAUCCUCUUAACUGCUCUCAUUUCAGCAAGUGAUUACCUUAUUUGUGGAAUUCGAGUGUUAACAAGCCAUGAGAAAGGCAAGAACACUCAAAGGAAUUUUUCUCUUUGAAAAUUGAU